GUAAGGAGAGUGGACUACCAACUGUUACAUUGAAUGAUAUUAGUGAGAAAAAGAGUUACUGGCUAAAAGAUUUUUGCUGCUGUAAUUUAUCAGCUCCAACAUCUAAUUUAUUGCCUGAUGUACUUGAUCAGAGGCAUGCUUCUGUUAUACUAAAAGCAAUAAAAGAUCUUGUGGUUGAACUAGAAGAGUUUGGUAUUCAUCUUGGACUAAGCAAUGCUAUUAUUCAAGAGAUAAAGGUCAAUGCUCCUCAUGAAAUCCGGACAAGACGUAAAGAUAUCAUCAUUGCCUGGUUAGAGACAGGUACUGCUACUCGUAGUGGACUCAUCUCAGCACUUGAAGAUGUUGAAAGGGUUGACAUUGCAGCUGAAGUAAAAGAAUUACCAACUGUUUGAGCUAUGAAUCUAUUUUUUGCUAAUAUUGAUGUAGUUUUUGAAUUGUUCUGUGUGUGUUUAAUAUUACCCAGCCUUACACCACA
Molecule: long non-coding RNA, 475 nt
Filed under: Amphimedon queenslandica
Lineage: Eukaryota; Metazoa; Porifera; Demospongiae; Haplosclerida; Niphatidae
Description: uncharacterized LOC109591748
Source: RNAcentral